RNAcentral lists this transfer RNA (2587 nucleotides) under Triticum aestivum (bread wheat). Its description in RNAcentral is "partial small subunit ribosomal RNA". Lineage: Eukaryota; Viridiplantae; Streptophyta; Magnoliopsida; Poales; Poaceae. The record is from RNAcentral.
UUUAGGAAAGUGGAAAGUUUUUUCCUUUUAUUUUAGGAAUUUUGGGAACAGAACAUUUCAACAAAGGAAGUCUUUCACCGGUCAAACAAGACGUAAGACUUAAUCUAAAAGAAAUUACUAGAUUGAAUCUAUUUGCAUUAAAAAAACCGAUCAAAAAAGGGCGAGCGAAGUAAGUGAUCGAAAAACUUUGUUCUUUGUUCGUCCUAUCUAUAAGAGGAGAGCAUAUGAAAAAUGUAACCCAUUCUUUCGUUUUUUUAGCUCACUGGCCAUCCGCUGGCAGUUUCGGGCUUAAUACCGAUAUUUUAGCAACAAAUCUAAUAAAUCUAACUGUAGUGGUUGGUGUUUUGAUUUUUUUUGGAAAGGGAGUGUUAAAAGAUUUAUUAGAUAAUCGAAAACAGAGGAUCUUGAGUACUAUUCGAAAUUCAGAAGAAUUGCGUAGAGGGACCAUUGAGCAACUCGAAAAAGCUCGGAUUCGAUUACAGAAAGUCGAACUAGAAGCGGAUGAGUAUCGAAUGAAUGGAUACUCUGAGAUAGAACGAGAAAAAGCAAAUUUGAUUAAUGCUACUUCUAUUAGUUUGGAACAAUUGGAAAAGUCUAAAAACGAAACCCUUUAUUUUGAAAAACAAAGGGCAAUGAAUCAGGUCCGACAGCGGGUUUUCCAACAGGCCGUACAAGGAGCUCUAGGAACUCUGAAUAGUUGUUUGAAUACCGAGUUACAUUUCCGUAUGAUUCGUGCUAAUAUUGGCAUUCUCGGGUCCCUGGAAUGGAAGAGAUAAUUAAAUUAAUUAGGCCUUGAACUUCUACUUUCGUUUAGAAUUUAGGCAUUAUUUUUCCCCUUGCUUCCGAAAAAAGAGUCAAGAAACACUAAUGGCAACCCUUCGAGUCGACGAAAUUCAUAAAAUUCUCCGCGAACGUAUUGAACAAUAUAAUAGGAAAGUAGGGAUUGAGAAUAUAGGUCGCGUAGUUCAAGUGGGGGAUGGGAUUGCUCGUAUUAUAGGUCUUGGUGAAAUAAUGUCAGGUGAAUUAGUCGAAUUUGCAGAAGGUACUAGGGGUAUUGCUCUGAAUUUGGAAUCCAAAAAUGUUGGGAUUGUAUUAAUGGGCGAUGGGUUGAUGAUACAAGAGGGAAGUUUUGUAAAAGCAACAGGAAGAAUUGCUCAGAUACCCGUGAGUGAGGCUUACUUGGGUCGUGUUGUAAAUGCUCUGGCUAAACCUAUUGAUGGGAAAGGCGAAAUUAUAGCUUCCGAAUCUCGCUUAAUUGAAUCUCCUGCUCCAAGUAUAAUUUCCAGGCGUUCCGUAUACAAACCUCUUCAAACAGGGCUUAUUGCUAUCGAUUCGAUGAUCCCUAUAGGGCGCGGUCAGCGAGAGUUAAUUAUUGGGGACAGACAGACUGGCAAAACAGCAGUAGCCACAAAUACAAUUCUCAAUCAAAAAGGGCAAGGUGUAAUAUGUGUUUAUGUAGCUAUCGGUCAAAGAGCAUCCUCCGUAGCUCAAGUAGUAACUGCUUUCCAUGAGGAGGGGGCCAUGGAAUACACUAUUGUAGUAGCUGAAAUGGCGGAUUCACCUGCUACAUUACAAUACCUCGCUCCUUAUACGGGAGCAGCCCUGGCUGAGUAUUUUAUGUACCGCGAACGGCAUACUUUAAUAAUUUAUGAUGAUCUCUCCAAACAGGCACAAGCUUAUCGCCAAAUGUCCCUUCUAUUAAGAAGACCUCCCGGCCGUGAGGCUUAUCCAGGGGAUGUUUUUUAUUUGCAUUCACGCCUUUUAGAAAGAGCCGCUAAAUUAAAUUCUCUUUUAGGCGAAGGAAGUAUGACCGCUUUACCAAUAGUUGAGACUCAAUCUGGAGACGUUUCCGCCUAUAUUCCUACUAAUGUAAUCUCCAUUACAGAUGGACAAAUAUUCUUAUCUGCGGAUCCAUUCAAUGCCGGAAUUCGACCCGCUAUUAAUGUGGGUAUUUCUGUUUCCAGAGUAGGAUCCGCGGCUCAAAUUAAAGCCAUGAAACAAGUAGCUGGCAAAUCAAAAUUGGAACUAGCUCAAUUCGCAGAGUUACAAGCCUUUGCACAAUUCGCCUCUGCUCUCGAUAAAACAAGUCAGAAUCAAUUGGCAAGGGGUCGACGAUUAAGGGAAUUGCUUAAACAAUCCCAGGCAAAUCCUCUCCCAGUGGAAGAGCAGAUAGCUACUAUUUAUACCGGAACAAGAGGAUAUCUUGAUUCGUUAGAAAUUGAACAGGUAAAUAAAUUUCUGGAUGAGUUACGUAAACAUCUAAAAGAUACUAAACCUCAAUUCCAAGAAAUUAUAUCUUCUAGCAAGACAUUCACCGAGCAAGCGGAAAUCCUUUUGAAGGAAGCUAUUCAGGAACAGCUGGAACGGUUUUCUCUUCAGUAACAAAUAAAUUUUGCAUGUCUACUCUUGUUAGUAGAAUAGGAAUCAUUGAGAAAGAUUUUUCAUUUGAAUCAUGCAAAAAAGUUUUCUUUGUUUUUAGUUUAGUAUAGUUAUUUAAAGAAUAGAUAGAAAUAAGAUUGCGUCCAAUAGGAUUUGAACCUAUACCAAAGGUUUAGAAGACCUCUGUCCUAUCCAUUAGACAAUGGAC